This 61-nucleotide transfer RNA is filed under the name Rhagovelia reitteri. RNAcentral describes it as "tRNA-Cys". The record is from RNAcentral. Lineage: Eukaryota; Metazoa; Arthropoda; Insecta; Hemiptera; Veliidae. RNAcentral also lists the same sequence under 1 other name.
GGUUUUAUAGUCAAUAAAUGAUAUUAGACUGCAAUUCUAAAGUUGUGUUUUACUAAAACCU